GAUGAACGCUGGCGGCGUGCCUAAUACAUGCAAGUCGAGCGAACAGACGAGGAGCUUGCUCCUCUGACGUUAGCGGAGGACGGGUGAGUAACACGUGGAUAACCCACCUAUAAGACUGGGAUAACUUCGGGAAACCGGAGAUAAUACCGGAUAAUAUAUUGAACCGCAUGGUUCAAUAGUGAAAGACGGUUUUGCGGUCACUUAUAGAUGGAUCCGCGCCGCAUUAGCUAGUUGGUAAGGUAACGGCUUACCAAGGCAACGAGGCGUAGCCGACCGGAGAGGGGGAUAGGCCGCCCGAGAGGGGGGACGCGGUCCAGGCGCCUGCGGGAGGCAGCAGUAGGGAAUGGGCCGCAGUGGGCGAGAGUCUGACGGAGCAGCGCGGCGUGAGUGAUGAAGGUCUUCGGAUCGGAAAACUGUGUUAUGGGUGAAGAACAAAUGUGGAAGUAGCUAUGCACGGCGUGACGGUACCUGGUCAGAAAGCCACGGCUAACUACGUG
Molecule: ribosomal RNA, 497 nt
Filed under: uncultured bacterium
Lineage: Bacteria
Description: partial 16S ribosomal RNA
Rfam family: Bacterial small subunit ribosomal RNA
Source: RNAcentral